Long non-coding RNA from Suricata suricatta (meerkat), 816 nucleotides. RefSeq lists it as uncharacterized. The transcript has 2 exons. The record is from RefSeq and is a predicted model, not a curated record. Lineage: Eukaryota; Metazoa; Chordata; Mammalia; Carnivora; Herpestidae.
CACCUGGUGAGAAACACUUGAUGAGAAAAGAGCUCAGCGGGGCCUAAGACAGUUUUGCACGGGACCCUAGGAAAUUCCGCGGGCCCCGCCCACCACCCAACUUCAGGGAAUACGGAAGGCUCUGGAGCAGCUCUACUUCCUCGACAGCCGCGAGCUCCGCCCACCACCCGACAGGCCCACUCAAAGCUCGACUUCCUGUGACCGCUGUCCCCGCCCACCACCCGCAGGCCUAAUCAGGAAGCCCCGCCCCCGCCUGCAAGCCGGUCCCGGGCGAAGAACCUGGAUGUAGCAGUCGCUCCCUCCGCGCAGACUCACCCAGACUCAAUUUACUUUCGUUUCCGCGGCAAACUUCCCGAGGCCUGGAUGAGGGAAGAAGCAGCGGUGGGAGAGUCUGGAAUUACUCCGACGUCUCGACAGCCUCGCCGGGGCGGGCAGGGGGCCGUCGCCGGAGCCUGACAAGGGGGGGAUCACCGGAGACGGAGCCCGUCAGACUCGGGGAUGCCGGGCCUCGGAGUAGCUGGCUCGUCGCGCCGUGGGCCCCGCUGGUGGGCGCGCGUCCUGCCGCGCGGCCCGGCCUCCCUCGCCCCGGCGGGACAGCGGGCUUGCGCACCUGGGAUGUAGGCCGGCCAGGACCGCCGUGCUCCGGCAGCAGGUCCGGUGUCCGCGCCCUCUGCGUGUCGAGAUAUUUCUAGUUCUGUGCAAAGGAUACUAGAGCCUAAGCAGAAAGUAGCAGUCUCACUGAGGACGUCAGACUUUGAAACAUGAAGAGCAAAAUCUCAGAAAGGAGGGAAGUAUAAAAAACUGACUCCAACAUUA